This 282-nucleotide long non-coding RNA is filed under the name Elaeis guineensis (African oil palm). RNAcentral's name for it is "long non-coding RNA (EGUI_LNC079904)". Lineage: Eukaryota; Viridiplantae; Streptophyta; Magnoliopsida; Arecales; Arecaceae. The record is from RNAcentral.
GACCGGAUUCUUCACGACGGACGGACUCCACCCAAGUUUCUACCUGCUAGACUUCGUCCGGACUCCUACGGGAGCCGGACUUCAUCCCCGACUUCAACUGUAGGUAGACUUCGUCCGGACUCCUACGGGAGCCGGACUUCAUCCCCGACUUCAAUUGCAGUAGACUUCGUCCGGACUCCUACGGAAGCCGAACUUCGUCACCGACUUCAACUACAGGAAGACUUCAUCCGGACUCCUACGGGAGCCGGACUUCGUCCCCGACUUCAACUGCAGGAAGACUUC